GUGCUGUGGUAUUUGUUUCCUCUUAGUACAUCUGCACACCUGUGCUCCUAUAAGCUUGAAUGGAAAUCGUUGUUGUGUGGUUUUGAAUGCCACAUGGCAAGGACCUCGCCCAGAACAACGUCCGGAUCUGGGCAUGCUUACCUGGAGAUUGACAUCAGUAGAUGAAUGCCAGGGGUGGAUCAUGCAAGAGGAUUUUACCCUCGCUGUUUGACUAGGACCAAUAUAGCCUGUGAUGUGGAUAAGAUUCUCUGGCCUGACCCAGAACAAAGACGGGAUGUUGAUGCGGAAAAAUGUUUUACAGUUGUGCUGUGUAGCACAUGA
Long non-coding RNA from Paramisgurnus dabryanus, 321 nucleotides. RefSeq lists it as uncharacterized. Lineage: Eukaryota; Metazoa; Chordata; Actinopteri; Cypriniformes; Cobitidae. The record is from RefSeq and is a predicted model, not a curated record.